CCAGACUCCUACGGGAGGCAGCAGUGAGGAAUAUUGGUCAAUGGGCGCGAGCCUGAACCAGCCAAGUCGCGUGAGGGAGGACGGCCCUACGGGUUGUAAACCUCUUUUGCCGGGGAGCAACGGGCGCCACGUGUGGCGUCACUGAGAGUACCCGGAGAAAAAGCAUCGGCUAACUCCGUGCCAGCAGCCGCGGUAAUACGGAGGAUGCGAGCGUUAUCCGGAUUUAUUGGGUUUAAAGGGUGCGCAGGCGGAAUGUCAAGUCAGCGGUAAAAUUUCGGGGCUCAACCCCGUCGUGCCGUUGAAACUGGCGUUCUUGAGUGAGCGAGAAGUAUGCGGAAUGCGUGGUGUAGCGGUGAAAUGCAUAGAUAUCACGCAGAACUCCGAUUGCGAAGGCAGCAUACCGGCGCUCAACUGACGCUCAUGCACGAAAGCGUGGGUAUCGAACAGGAUUAGAUACCCGAGUA
RNAcentral lists this ribosomal RNA (464 nucleotides) under uncultured bacterium. Its description in RNAcentral is "bacterial SSU rRNA". It matches the Rfam family "Bacterial small subunit ribosomal RNA", at positions 331 to 792 of the family's 1533-position model. The record is from RNAcentral.